UAGCUAGUUGGUGGGGUAAGGGCCUACCAAGGCGACGAUCGUUAGCUGGUCUGAGAGGAUGGCCAGCCACACUGGAACUGAGACACGGUCCAGACUCCUACGGGAGGCAGCAGUGGGGAAUAUUGGACAAUGGGGGCAACCCUGAUCCAGCAAUGCCGCGUGUGUGAAGAAGGCCUGAGGGUUGUAAAGCACUUUCAGUGGGGAGGAGGAUGUCUAGGUUAAGAGCUAGGAUAUUGGACGUUACCCACAGAAGAAGCACCGGCUAACUCCGUGCCAGCAGCCGCGGUAAUACGGAGGGUGCGAGCGUUAAUCGGAAUUACUGGGCGUAAAGGGUGCGUAGGUUGUUGUAUAAGUUAUCUGUGAAAUCCCUGGGCUCAACCUGGGCAGGUCAGAUAAAACUGUAUGACUCGAGUAUGGGAGAGGGUAGUGGAAUUUCCGGUGUAGCGGUGAAAUGCGUAGAGAUCGGAAGGAACACCAGUGGCGAAGGCGGCUACCUGGCCUAAUACUGACACUGAGGCACGAAAGCGUGGGGAGCAAACAGGAUUAGAUACCCUGGUAGUCCACGCUGUAAACGAUGUCAACUAGCUGUUGGGUAUAUGAAUGUACUUAGUGGCGC
Molecule: ribosomal RNA, 616 nt
Filed under: uncultured Legionella sp.
Lineage: Bacteria; Pseudomonadati; Pseudomonadota; Gammaproteobacteria; Legionellales; Legionellaceae
Description: bacterial SSU rRNA
Rfam family: Bacterial small subunit ribosomal RNA
Source: RNAcentral